RNAcentral lists this unclassified non-coding RNA (2444 nucleotides) under Orussus abietinus. RNAcentral describes it as "protein abrupt, transcript variant X4". The record is from RNAcentral. Lineage: Eukaryota; Metazoa; Arthropoda; Insecta; Hymenoptera; Orussidae.
AUCGCGCCGCAUCGCGUCCUCCGCGCCGCGGGAACAAGUUGGGUUCGGCUCGGUGGAGGGGAUAGGACCGCGGGAGGGGGCCAGAAGAGCGGCGGAGAGCCGCGGCGGCCGAAAGCGCAUAGCGAGAGGGCCAUCACUCGGUGCGCCGCCCCGCAACCAGGGUCAGGUGCUGGAAGGAACGAGGACAGGAAGGAAGGAGGAAGCGAUCGCCCGCAAGGUGGACGGAGGGUGGACCCUCGAGGAGAGGUCGAGGUCGAGGCGCGGAAUGGCGCGAGCAGCGAGGUCCUUCACGGGGAAAGGCGUUAUCAGCGGCUGCUAGCGGGCCGAUAUCCAGGAGGCCGAUUUUACACCUCUCGCUGGCUGUCAGGAUCUCGGCCGAAGGGAAGAGACUCGAGUCGACGGUAGCGCAGGUGAGAGCGAGGUCGAGGGAGGUCGACGAAUCGGGCCCCAUCAGCCCCGAGACGUCCCCAGGGCCCGAGGGCGGCGGGGCCUCGAGGGGGCGCGGCGAGGACGGCGAGGACGGCGACGACGGCUCGCGAUGCCGAGGGACGCCUCGGGGACGAACCGGGGGAGCAGCUGGUGAACCGGCCGGCCCCGGGUAAGGCCCGCGCGCGCCGGGAGGAGGGCAGCGGUCCCCUCGUCGUCGGUCGAGCCCCGGCGGGCCGCCCCCGCGGGGGAGCGGACCGGGCGGUGCCCUCGAGGGCGCGAGCGCGACUGCGCCCCCUGGGCGGGUCGCCAUGGCGGCCUCCUCGUCCUCGUCCAACGGCGAGCAGCAGUACUCUCUCCGAUGGAACGACUUCCACUCGAGCAUCCUCAGCUCGUUCCGCCACCUGCGCGACGAGGAAGACUUCGUCGACGUGACCCUCGCCUGCGACAGCAGCAGCUUCACCGCCCACAAGGUCGUCCUGUCGGCGUGCAGCCCCUACUUCCGGAGGCUCCUCAAGGCGAAUCCCUGCCAACAUCCGAUUGUGAUCCUGAGGGACGUCGCCUCGUCGGACAUGGAAUCCCUUCUGCGAUUCAUGUACCACGGCGAGGUCCACGUGGGCCAGGAACAACUCGGGGCCUUCCUGAAGACCGCGCAGAUGCUGCAGGUUCGAGGCCUCGCGGAUGUCAACAGCGGCGCAGCGGCUGCCAAGAUUCCACCCCCGGCCUCCUCGGCUGCCAACAAUGGCAGCGCGCCCACCACGCCGCGGAAUCUCUGGCAGGAUAACGGCAGGGGCGAUCCCAAUGACGGAGGACUCUGCUCGCCACCUACGAAGAGGCCCAGGAGUUACUCGCCGCCGUUGGCGAACCACGUCGAGCAGAAGUCUGACCUCCAGGAGUCCCUUUUGGGGCAGGCGUUGGAGGGUGGCCCGACGAUACACACACCAAGCAACAACGUCCAGUCAUGCGGGAAGAUUUCAAGGAAGACUUGGUUUACCUGCAACCCUGGGGUUGCUUUCUGCUUUCAGGCCCAGUCGACAGGCGAAGACUCCAACUCCAUGUCGGAUAACGAGGAGGACACGUCGAAUAACGAGAGCAUCCUGAACUCCGUCAAGACCGAGCCCGCCGAUCUCCUAAACGACUCCAUGGAGCACCAUCGAGGGACCUUCCCUGCUGCCCUUCUGGGUCUUCAAGGACUGAUGCCAGGACCCUCGGGGAUCCACGCGGCCAACCAGGACCCGAAUUACGGAUCGGUGAUGCCGAAGCGGGAGGACGUCGGGGUGGGCGUCGGCGUCGGCGUCGGGGUCGGCGUCGGCGUCGGCGCGUGCCCGUCCGAGUCCCAGGCCGUGGAGAACUUCGCUAGGCUCUACACGGCCCUGAGGCACGACGACGCGAGGCCGGUGUGCCGUUACUGCGGACGCAGCUACUCCUCGCCGAGCAACCUAAGGCAGCACGUGAAAAACGUCCACUCGAACUGGCCGCCCCCUGACACGUGGCCCCAGUGCAACGUGUGCGGGAAGCGCUGCAAGACGAAGCACUACCUGAUUAACCACCAGCUCCAGGCCCACGGGAUCCACCAGAGGCCGAGUCUCAACAAUCCCAACAACCCGGCCAGCCAGCACCAGGCCCCUUCGCUGCCCUGAGACCGCGCCUCGGGACCAUGAACGACGCGGCCCCGACCCGGGCGGGCACGCGGUCCGCGGGGACCUCGCGCGCUGCUCGUCGUGCGCGUUCGGAGGGAGGCGAUUGCGCAGCGUCCGGGGACUCGCGACGCCGGUCGACGGACCGGGAUCCAGGUCCGGUGGCGGUAGAGGAACGAGACGGGACGAGACCCGGGUCGCGACCACCGUGCGGUUUCGGCGCAACGGUGGGCGGGGGUCGAUAGCUGGUCGAUAGCUGGUCGGUGCCAGGAUCCCGGGCUCGAUGAGGCAGAGGGUGCGGCUUACCACCACCACCACAGCCAUCACCAGCAACGUCACCGCGCCCACCACCACGAGCACCAGCACCGAAGUCAGGCCCGG